CGCCUCUUGCCCCACAAGUAUAAGAGGUCCAGCCUGCCCAGUGACUUCAUGUUCAACGGCCGCGGUAUUCUGACCGUGCAAAGGUAGCGUAAUCACUUGCCCUUUAAAUAAGGACCAGUAUGAAUGGCCUCACGAGGGGUCGACUGUCUCCCAUGUCCGAUCAGUGAAAUUGAUUUCCCAGUGCAGAAGCUGAGAUAACAACAUAAGACGAGAAGACCCCAUGGAACUUAAAACACAUUAACACCUGCUUCAUAAUAUAACCCUUCUGGCACAAUUCAAUUAAGCCACCAUUGAUUAUUUGUUUUUGGUUGGGGCGACCACGGAGAAAAACAAAACCUCCGAGCCGAAUGGAAUACUUCUCCUAACUAAGAGCCACCCCUCUAAGUAUUAGAACCUCUAACGGUAUUUGAUCCAGCUUUACUGAUCAACGAACCAAGCUACCCUGGGGAUAACAGCGCAAUCUACUCUAAGAGUCCCUAUCGACGAGCAGGUUUACGACCUCGAUGUUGGAUCAGGACACCCCAAUGGUGCAGCCGCUAUUAAAGGUUCGUUUGUUCAACGAUUAAAGUCCUACGUGAUCUGAGUUCAGACCGGAGCAAUCCAGGUCAGUUUCUAUCUAUGCAGCAUCCUUCCUAGUACGAAAGGGCCGGAAAGAUAGGGCCCCUACACCAGCAAGCCCUAACCUUAACAUAAUGUAAACAACUCAACUAUUUUUAGGCCUACCAGCUAGCCGUAGAAAACAGCUAU
RNAcentral lists this ribosomal RNA (747 nucleotides) under Ascaphus montanus (Rocky Mountain tailed frog). Its description in RNAcentral is "partial 16S ribosomal RNA". It matches the Rfam family "Bacterial large subunit ribosomal RNA", at positions 1816 to 2784 of the family's 2925-position model. The record is from RNAcentral. Lineage: Eukaryota; Metazoa; Chordata; Amphibia; Anura; Ascaphidae.